RNAcentral lists this long non-coding RNA (2667 nucleotides) under Manihot esculenta (cassava). RNAcentral's name for it is "long non-coding RNA (MESC_LNC003468)". Lineage: Eukaryota; Viridiplantae; Streptophyta; Magnoliopsida; Malpighiales; Euphorbiaceae. The record is from RNAcentral.
GUGAAACUUCUGGAAGCUGUGAGGUUUCACCAGGCAUUGGUGGAAGUUGCGAGGCGCGUGCAGAGAGGCGCGGGCGGGCCAAGGGUGCACAUGCCUAUGGCAUGCCAAAACGAGGUUCAUAACUGCAAGAAUCCGCCAGAAAAUUCCAAAACGUGCCAGACAGCUCCCAGACCGCCCAAACAGCACCAGACACGUGGCAAAUCACCAACCACAUGAUUUAGACGGCCAAACAUACUUUUUUGCCUAUAAAUACCCCAUUUGCAUUCUUUUAAAAAGAAUAGAAGCCUCCUACACCUAAAGAGCUAUAAGGACACUUUGUAAUCACUUUGUAGAGACUUUGUGAGCUUUCUUGUAUUAUUUGUCUUGUAAAUUUUUCCAAGUGUAAUAUAAAGCCAUUUUCCCCAAUUCUCUUUCCUUCUUGCUAGUUUUAGGUUGUUUUGCUUCCUUCACCCCCUAAGAGCUGUUUAAGCCCUUUACAACCGUUUAUUUGCUUUCCGCUGCGUAUUAAAAGGGUAAGGCUGACUUAGUUCACGUUAGAGAGCUAAGUGUUGCAUUGCUCGAGUGAUUUUUGGGUUGGAAUCAUUCAGGCCGUGACAAUAUACUAAGACUUGAGGGAAUAGUUCUUCCCCAUUCUCUUUUCUUUUCUUUUCUUCUUCUUCUUCUAUAUGGUAUUGGUACCAGAGCUAGCCCAUAAUUUCUUCCUUUGUUUUUCCACUACCCUUUCAACUUGGUAGGGUGAGAGAGAUGUUCUAACUGCGCCACCCUUCUCAUCAGCACUCAAGGUUGCUGAUUGGCCUAUCCCCAAAAGCUCAUAGCUGGAAAACCAGUCACCUGCACCCACACACUGCUACAAGCUCUGCCCUCUACCACACACCGAUGCAUAAGCGAGCAUCAGCCCCGUCUUCAGGCCACCUUGAAUACGCAACUCCAGCCAGCCGAUACUGAACAACUGGGCUACUUGAAUCCUCGGCCCUCUCAAGUUGGGUCUAAGUUCUGCAUUUGCAUCUCUGAGUUGCAGUUCUGCUUUCUCAUUUCUAGGUUCCUUGGUUUCUUAUAGCAGACAUGGUUUCUGCCUCAGUUUGACUUGUUCUUUGCUUCGUUGGUUUCUGGUUUGGCUAUUGUUGUUUCUAUUGCUGAAUUGCAUUGGGUGUUGGGGAUUCUAGUGUAUCUUUUUAUUACUACCUUAGCUUACGCUGUUAGACUCGUUUUUAAUCAAGAAGCUUAUGACUCGUUUUUAAUCAAGAAGCUUAUGACUCGUUUUUAAUCAAGAUUGUUGAUUGCCCAAACAUGACUACUAUGGCAGCCUCUUCCGGUACAGGUACUUCUAAACACAUUUUCUAAUCUACUAUAUCUAGUACACCAACAUACUGCUGUUAAAUUACAAGGUAUUAGUAACUACAUAUAUUGGGUUGCAUCACAGAACUAUGCUUUUAGAAAGUAAAAAUUGAUAGUGACAUGGUCGCUACUUAUCAAACAAUUUGGGUAAACAUUAAUGCACAAUCAUGUAGCCUCUUAUGGUAUCCUCUCAACCCUAAGUAGCUCACUGUUAUUUCAAUGCCAUAAAACCUAUUGCAAGGUUUGGAUUAAAGCUAAAAUACUAUAUCCAUUGCAUAUAUAAGGUUGCAUGAGACCUUGUCUACUAGCAAUAGAAUCAUCAAGACAUUGCUAGCUAUUUGGGUCAAGUAGUAUAAACAAUUAAAGAUAGAUUGAAUUACUAUUAGGUCUCUGUCUUUUGUCAACAUGAACUAUUUAGUUCCUAUUCUUAAAUUAUUUAAUUAAAACAUCCUUGUAUUGGGAGAUCAAAAUCUUUAAUCCAUUCUGUCAAAGAAAACAGUAAUCAACUUGUUUUGCCUUAAAUAAGUGUACCAUUUAGGCCUUAUAAUGUUAAUUACAUAUAUUAUUUAAUCCCCGUAUUUUUAAAUGGUCAUACUUUAGUCCCUCCAACCAACGCUAAAAGUUGACUAACAUUUUAUUUGACUGAAGAAUUAAAAAUUUUGAUUUUGCAAAAGACAACACGUUUUAAUUGAGUGAUUUAGAAACAUAGAUUAAGCUGUUAAUUUUGAAAAAAAAUUACCCUUAAAGAUAAACCUUAUAGUAAUUACCAUUGACAAGGACUAUAUCUCUAGAACCCAACAUCUCCCAUUGUCUUUGCUUCUGUUGGAAAUCAAAGUAUCUCCAAACUCCAAAAAUUAGUUUUCAACCUCCCCAUCUUGUCAUAUUUAGAUUGUGAGUCAUGUCAGCCUUGAACAACAAGUCCCUUUUUUUUUUUCCAAGUGAACUAAUAAUGGGGCUACUUUUGUUCUCAACAUGCUCAUUCAAACAUACAAAUAUGUCAUACCCACAAAUGUUGUGAUUGCGUGAAUUAAUUAGUUUUGUGAUUGUAUGUGGUGCUUAUGCCUAGACAUAUGUGUCGUAAAUACAUAACAUGCCAUUUUAGUUCGUGUAGUAGACUAGUUGUAUAUAUACCAAAAGAUGUGAGUGAAAAAUCAAACAAUUUCCUCCAAAUUCUCUUUUAACUUGCUUUUUCUUCUUCAUUUUCUACAUGAGUGAAAACCUCAUCCUUCAAAUAGAUUUUUUUAACUCGCCUAACCUUGUUUAACUAUAAAAAUACAUAUUAGUAAUCAAAAGUUUUCCUUCGCUAAUAACAAUUUAUGAAUUGACAAAAGC